CAGAAGUGCGAAUGCUGACAUAAGUAACGAUAAAGCGGGUGAAAAGCCCGCUCGCCGGAAGACCAAGGGUUCCUGUCCAACGUUAAUCGGGGCAGGGUGAGUCGACCCCUAAGGCGAGGCCGAAAGGCGUAGUCGAUGGGAAACAGGUUAAUAUUCCUGUACUUGGUGUUACUGCGAAGGGGGGACGGAGAAGGCUAUGUUGGCCGGGCGACGGUUGUCCCGGUUUAAGCGUGUAGGCUGGUUUUCCAGGCAAAUCCGGAAAAUCAAGGCUGAGGCGUGAUGACGAGGCACUACGGUGCUGAAGCAACAAAUGCCCUGCUUCCAGGAAAAGCCUCUAAGCAUCAGGUAACAUCAAAUCGUACCCCAAACCGACACAGGUGGUCAGGUAGAGAAUACCAAGGCGCUUGAGAGAACUCGGGUGAAGGAACUAGGCAAAAUGGUGCCGUAACUUCGGGAGAAGGCACGCUGAUAUGUAGGUGAAGCGACUUGCUCGUGGAGCUGAAAUCAGUCGAAGAUACCAGCUGGCUGCAACUGUUUAUUAAAAACACAGCACUGUGCAAACACGAAAGUGGACGUAUACGGUGUGACGCCUGCCCGGUGCCGGAAGGUUAAUUGAUGGGGUUAGCGCAAGCGAAGCUCUUGAUCGAAGCCCCGGUAAACGGCGGCCGUAACUAUAACGGUCCUAAGGUAGCGAAAUUCCUUGUCGGGUAAGUUCCGACCUGCACGAAUGGCGUAAUGAUGGCCAGGCUGUCUCCACCCGAGACUCAGUGAAAUUGAACUCGCUGUGAAGAUGCAGUGUACCCGCGGCAAGACGGAAAGACCCCGUGAACCUUUACUAUAGCUUGACACUGAACAUUGAGCCUUGAUGUGUAGGAUAGGUGGGAGGCUUUGAAGUGUGGACGCCAGUCUGCAUGGAGCCGACCUUGAAAUACCACCCUUUAAUGUUUGAUGUUCUAACGUUGACCCGUGAUCCGGGUUGCGGACAGUGUCUGGUGGGUAGUUUGACUGGGGCGGUCUCCUCCUAAAGAGUAACGGAGGAGCACGAAGGUUGGCUAAUCCUGGUCGGACAUCAGGAGGUUAGUGCAAUGGCAUAAGCCAGCUUGACUGCGAGCGUGACGGCGCGAGCAGGUGCGAAAGCAGGUCAUAGUGAUCCGGUGGUUCUGAAUGGAAGGGCCAUCGCUCAACGGAUAAAAGGUACUCCGGGGAUAACAGGCUGAUACCGCCCAAGAGUUCAUAUCGACGGCGGUGUUUGGCACCUCGAUGUCGGCUCAUCACAUCCUGGGGCUGAAGUAGGUCCCAAGGGUAUGGCUGUUCGCCAUUUAAAGUGGUACGCGAGCUGGGUUUAGAACGUCGUGAGACAGUUCGGUCCCUA
This 1372-nucleotide ribosomal RNA is filed under the name Escherichia coli. RNAcentral describes it as "partial 23S ribosomal RNA". It matches the Rfam family "Bacterial large subunit ribosomal RNA", at positions 1283 to 2640 of the family's 2925-position model. The record is from RNAcentral. Lineage: Bacteria; Pseudomonadati; Pseudomonadota; Gammaproteobacteria; Enterobacterales; Enterobacteriaceae.